This 253-nucleotide ribosomal RNA is filed under the name uncultured bacterium. Its description in RNAcentral is "partial 16S ribosomal RNA". It matches the Rfam family "Bacterial small subunit ribosomal RNA", at positions 524 to 776 of the family's 1533-position model. The record is from RNAcentral.
UACGUAGGGUGCGAGCGUUGUCCGGAAUUAUUGGGCGUAAAGAGCUCGUAGGCGGUUUGUCGCGUCUGCCGUGAAAGUCCGGGGCUCAACUCCGGAUCUGCGGUGCGUACGGGCAGACUAGAGUGAUGUAGGGGAGACUGGAAUUCCUGGUGUAGCGGUGAAAUGCGCAGAUAUCAGGAGGAACCCCGAUGGCGAAGGCAGGUCUCUGGGCAUUAACUGACGCUGAGGAGCGAAAGCAUGGGGGGCGAACAGG